RNAcentral lists this long non-coding RNA (389 nucleotides) under Physcomitrium patens. RNAcentral's name for it is "long non-coding RNA (PPAT_LNC009199)". The record is from RNAcentral. Lineage: Eukaryota; Viridiplantae; Streptophyta; Bryopsida; Funariales; Funariaceae.
UCUUGGAAAAAUAGAUAUUAUUCAAAGGGUAGAAAAAUUAAAGGUGCUAAUGCUACCUAUUUUCAAAUUAUGCUUCUAUUUAUUUUAUAAGGCCAUAAAUAAGGCAAAACAAGGUAGAUUAGAAAAAUAAAGGAUAUAGGCAUAUGUAGGGAGGAAUUAGGAGUACAAAUUAGUAAAAGUUACCUCAAGAAGACGAAAUUUGAUACCCGAAGAGGACCGGUUAUGAACCUAGGUCAAAAUCAGACCCCGAGGCACAAAACCAUGCUCUGAUGGCGACUCAAGGAUUCUUUGGCAGAUCAGAGAGUGGAGUUUGAUAGAAGAUUGGAUAGGGUUUCUAUGGAUGUUGGUUUUGGGUGAUUUGGAUUUGUAUUGACUUUGCAAUAGCUUUG